GGUCACGCUGUUAAAGUGCCCAACCCUGACAGCAUGGGCCACCCAAUAGAACCCUCCAUAUGCAGCCCCGGCGGCUUGCCGCAAAUGGUGAUGGCGGUACCCGGUCGCAGGGGUACCGCCAGCUCGCACCCGCCAGCCCGGUCUCUCAAAAUUAGAAAAUCCCUACCGCCCACACGGAAUCCUGAAAUGCCCACUAGUGGGCGGUAGGGACCAGGUUGACGACCCAUGCUCUAAACACAU
This is a non-coding RNA of Pelobates cultripes (western spadefoot toad), 240 nucleotides long. NCBI's taxonomy places the organism in Eukaryota, Metazoa, Chordata, Amphibia, Anura, Pelobatidae. The record is from the annotation of a GenBank genome assembly.